Molecule: non-coding RNA, 567 nt
Filed under: Gossypium hirsutum (cotton)
Lineage: Eukaryota; Viridiplantae; Streptophyta; Magnoliopsida; Malvales; Malvaceae
Description: Bacterial small subunit ribosomal RNA
Rfam family: Bacterial small subunit ribosomal RNA
Source: Rfam by way of RNAcentral
CUCAUAGCGAGUUCGAUCUUGGCUCAGGAUAAACGCUGGUGAAAUGCUUAACACAUGCAAGUUGGACGGAAAAUGGUGUUUCCAAUGGCAAACAGGUGAGUAACGUGUAAGAACUUACCUUUGGGAGGGGAACAAUAGUUGCAAACGAUUGCUAAUACCCCGUAAGCUGAGGAGCAAAAGGAGGGAUCCGUUUGAGGAAGGGCUCGCAUUUGACAGCUAGUUGGUGAGGCAAUAGCUUACCAAGGCGAUAUCAGUAGCUGGUCUGAGAGGAUGAUUAGCCACACUGGGACUGAGACACGACCUAGACUCUUACGGGAGGCAGUAGUAGGGAAUUUUUCGCAAUGGGCAAAAACUUGACGGAGCAAUACUGUGUGGAGGUAGAAGGCUCAAAGGUCAUGAACUUCUUUUCUCGGAAAAGAAGCAACAAUAGUAUCUGAGGAAUAAACAAUAGCAAACUUUGUGCCAACAGCCACGGUAAUAUAGAAGAUGCAAGCGUUACUCGAAAUAAUUGGGUGUAAAACAUAUGUAAAUGACUUUUUAAUAUGUUACAUCCUAAUCAAUUUUCUA